Molecule: ribosomal RNA, 481 nt
Filed under: uncultured bacterium
Lineage: Bacteria
Description: partial 16S ribosomal RNA
Rfam family: Bacterial small subunit ribosomal RNA
Source: RNAcentral
GAUGAACGCUGGCGGCGUGCUUAACACAUGCAAGUCGAACGAAGCACUUUAUUUGAUUUCCUUCGGGACUGAUUAUUUUGUGACUGAGUGGCGGACGGGUGAGUAACGCGUGGGUAACCUGCCUUGUACAGGGGGAUAACAGUUGGAAACGGCUGCUAAUACCGCAUAAGCGCACGGCAUCGCAUGAUGCAGUGUGAAAAACUCCGGUGGUAUAAGAUGGACCCGCGUUGGAUUAGCUAGUUGGUGAGGUAACGGCCCACCAAGGCGACGAUCCAUAGCCGACCUGAGAGGGUGACCGGCCACAUUGGGACUGAGACACGGCCCAAACUCCUACGGGAGGGAGCAGUGGGGAAUAUUGCACAAUGGGCGAAAGCCUGAUGCAGCGACGCCGCGUAAGCGAAGAAGUAUUUCGGUAUGUAAAGCUCUAUCAGCAGGGAAGAUAAUGACGGUACCUGACUAAGAAGCACCGGCUAAAUACGUG